Molecule: non-coding RNA, 98 nt
Organism: Clostridiales bacterium 42_27
Lineage: Bacteria; Bacillati; Bacillota; Clostridia; Eubacteriales
Source: Rfam
AUAAUGAUACGACCUUACAGCCACAGUCCGAGCGUUCAAAGCGUCGCAGGCGAUGGGUAGGGCUGCACGAGAACCGUGCGGGGGUGAAACUCCCUUGG